This 253-nucleotide unclassified non-coding RNA is filed under the name uncultured Alphaproteobacteria bacterium. RNAcentral's name for it is "contains 16S-23S intergenic spacer region". It matches the Rfam family "Bacterial small subunit ribosomal RNA", at positions 524 to 776 of the family's 1533-position model. Lineage: Bacteria; Pseudomonadati; Pseudomonadota; Alphaproteobacteria. The record is from RNAcentral.
UACGAAGGGAGCUAGCGUUGUUCGGAAUUACUGGGCGUAAAGGGCGCGUAGGCGGUGAGGCAAGUCAGAUGUGAAAGCCCUGGGCUCAACCCAGGAACUGCAUUUGAAACUGUCUGACUCGAGUCCGAGAGGGGAAAACAGAAUUGCAGGUGUAGAGGUGAAAUUCGUAGAGAUCUGCAGGAAUACCGGUGGCGAAGGCGGUUUUCUGGCUCGGUACUGACGCUGAGGCGCGAAAGCGUGGGGAGCAAACAGG